This 305-nucleotide ribosomal RNA is filed under the name uncultured bacterium. RNAcentral's name for it is "bacterial SSU rRNA". It matches the Rfam family "Bacterial small subunit ribosomal RNA", at positions 333 to 654 of the family's 1533-position model. The record is from RNAcentral.
AUCUCCCUACGGGGGGCAGCAGUGAGGAAUAUUGGUCAAUGGGCGGGAGCCUGAACCAGCCAAGCCGCGUGAGGGAAGAAGGUACAGCGUAUCGUAAACUCCUUUUAUCAGGGACGAUAAUGACGGUACCUGAAGAAAAAGCUCCGGCUAACUACGUGCCAGCAGCCGCGGUAAUACGUAGGGAGCGAGCGUUGUCCGGAAUUACUGGGUGUAAAGGGAGCGUAGGCGGGACGGCAAGUCAGAUGUGAAAACUGAGGGCUCAACUUUCAGACUGCAUUUGAAACUGCUGUUCUUGAGUGAAGUAG